RNAcentral lists this unclassified non-coding RNA (368 nucleotides) under fungal sp. RNAcentral's name for it is "partial internal transcribed spacer region". The stretch from base 1 to 46 matches the Rfam family "Eukaryotic small subunit ribosomal RNA", at positions 1786 to 1831 of the family's 1831-position model. Lineage: Eukaryota; Fungi. The record is from RNAcentral.
AAGUCGUAACAAGGUUUCCGUAGGUGAACCUGCGGAAGGAUCAUUAACACGUAUCCAACGUUAAACCCCCUGUGAACUUUCAUCGUGCUCUUGCAUCCUAGGAACAGCAAUCCUGGUAAAUCAGUCGCGAAAGUAGUUAUUGAUUCAGGACCUCUGCCCAAAAGAUGUGAUUGAGCGCUCGAGGCAAGUGGCCUAGCUUCCGCAAGGAUAACGCUUCACGGGUGCUGACCGAACACCGGCCGGCAUCGUGGUCACCGGGCUCACGCCCCUUCGAAACAACCAGUAGUUAGCGUAUGUCUCCACGACACAGCAAGUGCGCCGUCCUGGAGAAAAAUGAACAACUGUUAACAAUGGAUAUCUUGGUUCUC